RNAcentral lists this transfer RNA (73 nucleotides) under Notacanthus arrontei. RNAcentral's name for it is "tRNA-Asn". It matches the Rfam family "tRNA". Rfam says of the family: Transfer RNA (tRNA) molecules are approximately 80 nucleotides in length. Their secondary structure includes four short double-helical elements and three loops (D, anti-codon, and T loops). Further hydrogen bonds mediate the characteristic L-shaped molecular structure. tRNAs have two regions of fundamental functional importance: the anti-codon, which is responsible for specific mRNA codon recognition, and the 3' end, to which the tRNAs corresponding amino acid is attached (by aminoacyl-tRNA synthetases). tRNAs cope with the degeneracy of the genetic code in two manners: having more than one tRNA (with a specific anti-codon) for a particular amino acid; and 'wobble' base-pairing, i.e. permitting non-standard base-pairing at the 3rd anti-codon position. Lineage: Eukaryota; Metazoa; Chordata; Actinopteri; Notacanthiformes; Notacanthidae. The record is from RNAcentral.
UAGGUGGAUGCUCGCUGGCUAGAGCGCUUAGCUGUUAACUAUGAUUUCGAGGGAUCGAAGCCCUCCCACCUAU